RNAcentral lists this ribosomal RNA (479 nucleotides) under uncultured bacterium. RNAcentral describes it as "partial 16S ribosomal RNA". It matches the Rfam family "Bacterial small subunit ribosomal RNA", at positions 28 to 507 of the family's 1533-position model. The record is from RNAcentral.
GAUGAACGCUAGCGGGAGGCCUAACACAUGCAAGCCGAGCGGUAGAGUUUCUUCGGAAACUUGAGAGCGGCGCACGGGUGCGUAACACGUGUGCAACCUACCUUUAUCUGGGGGAUAGCCUUUCGAAAGGAAGAUUAAUACCCCAUAAUAUAAUGAUUGGCAUCAAUUAUUAUUGAAAACUCCGGUGGAUAGAGAUGGGCACGCGCAAGAUUAGAUAGUUGGUGAGGUAACGGCUCACCAAGUCAAUGAUCUUUAGGGGUCCUGAGAGGGAGAUCCCCCACACUGGUACUGAGACACGGACCAGACUCCUACGGGAGGCAGCAGUGAGGAAUAUUGGACAAUGGGUGAGAGCCUGAUCCAGCCAUCCCGCGUGAAGGAUGACGGUCCUAUGGAUUGUAAUCUUCUUUUGUACAGGGAUAAACCUACCCUCGUGAGGGUAGCUGAAGGUACUGUACGAAUAAGCACCGGCUAACUCCGUG